Molecule: long non-coding RNA, 696 nt
Filed under: Capra hircus (goat)
Lineage: Eukaryota; Metazoa; Chordata; Mammalia; Artiodactyla; Bovidae
Description: lncRNA (ENSCHIG00000007161.1)
Source: RNAcentral
CUAGGGGCAGAGCUAGGCUCCUGACUGCAAGGUACAUAGCUGUCACAACUAAUACAUUUAGAAAGGCAACUAGACUCAUGGCUGAUGUGACUGCAACCUGGUGCUCAGUGGCCUAAAUUCAUACUACCAGUAACUCAGAAACCAGUGUUCAAUCAAGCAGCAAACACUGUCAGAGGUCCAGUCCCUUGCUGAGCUGUUUGGUAAAUGGUAAGAAAAAUAGAGUGGAGGGUAAAAGGAAAGAGCCGUUAAUACACAAUGUGGCUGGGCUCUCAUUGGCGCUGUGUUCAGCGUCACCUUAUAUACUAAUAAAUGGGCAACAAGGAACAGUGCCUGACCACAACACACAACAAAACAGAAAGCAAAGUGGGUAAGAUAAUUAUCUCAACAGAUAACCUGCGGCUGCUUCAUGGAGGAGAUGCUAUUUGGCCAGACUUUAAGAGAUUUAUACACCGGAAAGGCCCUGUAGGGAAAAGCCACAUGGAAACGGCUGCUGUUCAGCUCAAGUUGGGAAUGUUUUCCUCUCUCUGGACUUCCAGUGCAAAAGCACUCGCUGAUUCUACAGCUUUCAGGUAUGUUUGAAAAUGUGAUUUUCUGUAAUUUAUCUAUCUUUCUAGUUUUUUUUUCAUUUUUAUUUAUUUUAAAAUUAAUUUAUUUAGUUUAAUUGUAGGCUAAUUGCUUUAUGAUAUUGUAGUGGCU